Long non-coding RNA from Prionailurus viverrinus (fishing cat), 6930 nucleotides. RefSeq lists it as uncharacterized. NCBI's taxonomy places the organism in Eukaryota, Metazoa, Chordata, Mammalia, Carnivora, Felidae. The record is from RefSeq and is a predicted model, not a curated record. The transcript has 6 exons.
AAGAGACACUGGGACACAGAUGGAGACAGUCAUAGCAAGAGUGACAGUGCUUUUCACCCACGGUCCCACCCACGAGGUUUUCUUGCACUCUUGCCAGAGAUCUUUGUAUUAGGCUCCCCAGACAUACCUUAGCCCUUUCAGGCUGUUUUUGUGGAAAUAAACAAAGACGAACCACAUGAGGAAAAACAUGCUGUUUAUUCUGGGCUUGUUAGAGCAAGAGAGGCAGUGAUGGUUGCUUGCAUUUGGCAGAGAUUGAAAAGCAGGCAGAGGAUGGGACAGCUUCACAGAGGAAAAGGGGAAGGCUCCAGGGGUGCCCUGACUGGAGGCUGCCGGCCUCAGGAAACUAGAGGUGUGUUAACUAGAACCAGAAGACCUAUGCCAUUGGGUUAGGGGUGCGUAUGUGGCUUUCUCUGGUUGGUCUAAGUUGGAAGUGAGGUAAAACAGUACAGAAGCUGUCAGUUAUGAACUAAGACCUGGCCAUUUGGGGUAGGUUAGCUUCUUGCAUUGUUUCUAGAGAUAGCACUCUGGCUUCCUGCAAGGCUGAGUUGCAGCAGGCCGGUUUCCUGGGCUAUUUACUGCAGAUAGGGGGUUGGUUCCCUGUAGAUGGGGGGUAGGAGGGCAGGUUGCCAUGUGUUGUGGGUCAGAGUCUAUUUUUUACAUAUGUUUGGCCGUUGCUUGUAUGUAUAUUCAGUCUCUUAUUUGUUUAUUUAUUUUAACAAUUUAUUUUAAAACAGACCUCUUUCUUCCUUGCAGAGGACAGCUGACUGUCCCCUUCCACUGUCAUAUUAAAAAGCUGCCCACCCUGCUGACCAUAAACCUGUCCCUGAGGUUGAAUCCCAGGAAAUUCAAUGCCCUCCCUGCCUGGGAGCAAGUCUCCUUGUCCUUCUUGGGAACCUCUCUCAGAAAGAUUUGGCAGUAAAAUUUAUCUCAUCAGUUUUAAUCUCAUUGGUCCUCAAAAACUUUUUUCUAUUUCUGUUUCUCCUGGGGGCUGUGGCAUCCUCAUGCAAGCUGGUCUGUUGGUGGCUGCUCACUGUGGCCGCUCCUGGGUGGCCAGGCAGGGCAGGCCUCCCAUUGUGUUGCAUUUAAAAAAAAAAAAAGAAGAGAGGAAUUAAUGUAAAGAGCUGUGCUAACAAGUGGGUAGUACUAUUGGGUGUGUAUAAAUUCAUGCAUAUUUUUCUUUUUAAGCCUAUUGGUUUAUUCUGUUUUUAAAUCAGAAAUGGAUCCAGUCAAAAAGAAAAAAAUAAAAUAGUUUGCAUUUCCUUCUCAUGCUCCCCUUUUAGCGGCUCAAGGCUAAUGACAGAAAACCCCCCAACCCAUUUAGCAUUCUCUGUGUUUAAAAGACUCUCAAGUAUUAGCUCUUGGGAAGCCCAGCAUUUUAAAACUUGCAAAAUAGGCAGGCAGGGCAAGAUGCCAUGUUUCCAACUCCCUGGGACUCAUUUCAGGAGUUUGAUUAACUCUUUGGUUCAAAGUAUCUGCUUUGAAGAAGAGGUAGGGGGCAUUCAAAUGAGGGAUGCUGUCUGCCAAGAUCAAAGCGGCAUUGCACAUUUUAAAGAGUCUAAUUCACAGACCCUUGGAUAGUUGUAGCACCAACUUGAAGCCUAUUUGGUCAGAAGUGGCCACUUGAGCAGUCUUGGGGGUGGGCGAGGGCUUCUUUGUUUUGGAAAGUGCUUCCCACCCAGAGGAAGGAAUGUGAAGUGAGGGAGCCCUCUUUUGGACAAAAGCUAAGGAGGAAAGUCAGGGACAGUGGGAAAGACCCAGUCAAGGCUGGGGAAGAACACAUAAGCUAAGGACUCUUGGUUUGCCUUAUAUUGGCAGGUAGCUCCUCAGGAGAAAUAGUCUGAAUUCAGAUCAUGGGAAAGCCAACGUGCAUUUUUAAGACAGAAGGUAAAGGGUAUACUGCCUACAGGGAAAAAUCUUCCAAAUAUAUCUAGACUAUAGGUUACAGGGUUAGAAUUUUUUUCUUCUUGUUUGUUUGGCUAAGAUGAGGAACUUUAAAGGUGGGAAUAGGGUUGGUGGAGGUGUGUGUGUGUGUGCGUGUGUGUGUGUGUGUGUGUGUGUGUGUGUGUGUGUGUGUGUGUGUAUGUGUAUGUGUUUUAGGGAGCUGGCAUCAGGUACUGUCUUCUGUUGGGGCAUGAACAUAGGAAUGCCAUUCAAAUGUAUCCCAUUGUGGUCCUGGAUCCACUUUCUUUGCUUUCCUCAAGACCAACUGGCACAGGUGAUCCAAGUGGAGAUAACCAUGACUGUUUUGAGUACUAACUUUGAUGAGUGUGGUCAGUGGCUUCUGAUAGGGCCACCAAGGAUCCCACCUCCUGGAAUUCAUACCUUCACUUAAUGCCCUCCCCUUGAAAGUGGGCUGCAUGGAGUGACUCACUUGUAAUGAAAAGAACACAGAAAAGGUGUCGGGAGGUCACUUCUGGAUAGGUUUAUAAGAGACUGUGACUUUUAUCCUGCUCACACUUCUUUCUCUCUUGUCCUCUACCUUGCUUCCCUUGUGCCACGGGGAGGCCCACAUAGCAAAGCAGCCUCUGGCUAAUGGCCAGUAAGGAGCUGAGGCUCUCAGUCCAACAGCCUUUGAAGUGUUGAAUCCUGACAGUAACCAUGCAAGUGGAUCCUUUUCCUGGAAAGCCUUGAGGGUGAAGCUGCUGCCCUUGGGCUCACCUUCCCAGAGCCCCCUGUGCAGACUGCUGGCUAUUAGCAAGAGGGGAUUUGAUGUCCCUCUCAUCUUGGGAUGCAGAUCUUUCAGUUGUGUUUUAUCUUCAAAUAAAAAAGAGAAACUGCUUCCAGAGCCCAGAGGGACCACUGUAACCACAGGAUCACCAUGACCAUCUCUUUGGCCCCAGGAAAGGGCCCACUCAGAUAGCAUCAGACUGGAUGAGGGACUUCCAAAUGGAACAACAUGUUGCUACUGUGUCCUGGAAGGUCCAACUGUCUCCACUUACAAGGGUCUUAUGUAUCUCCAUAAGGUUUGGGAGAAUUGGUUGUGAGAACAAUGUGGAUACUGAUGGAGAAAAUACAAGGUGGGCCAGAGUGGCCAUUGAUUUUCUUCCUUGGGUUUCUGAGAAAGCUUUGCUCCCUAGGCAUCUUUAUCCAGCUUGCUGACCGAAGCAUUAUUCACACUUCUCCUGUGGCCAUGAGGGUGAGACACCUGCUGCUAGGGACUCCAGGCUCCUACCUCUGAAGGACAGUGGACUAAAUUUCUGACAGGGGCCAUGAGACACCUUUGAGGGAAAGAGAUGUAAGAGCUCUGAUCUCUGAGGACAUAAAGGCUCUCACAGGUGCUUGCUUUAGUUAUCACUGCCUUUUAGAUGGCAUUUUCCUUGAGGUUCUAAAUUCUUCAUCAUUCUUCACAGACUGGGAAUGGGCUCAGAGGGGAAGUCAUGCCCCCUUGUGAAGUGUACUAAGGGGUCUUCAGAAGGUCCCACCAUGGCCUCCCACACAGCAAAUGCAUUACCUCUGUCUGUGAAGAAUGGAAAUGUUAUGAAUAUCAUAACAUGAGGGUGAGGGUGAUCUCUGAAAUCCAUUGUGAACAUAGAACUCAAUGGCCAUUAUCAGAGAUAACAAUUGUUGGCAUUAUUCACAUGUGCUUUACGGGCCAUAAAACACACUUGGCAACACAUCUCAUUGGAUUCUCACACUCUCGAUGAGAGGUAGGGAAGGCAUGUAUCAUUCUAAUCUCAUUUUACAGAAGGGAAAAAAGAGGCCCCAGGAGUGAAGCAAUGAGGGGGACACCUUCAUUGCUAUGCUCCUGGAAAAUAGGGGUGCUCUAGGAGCCUCACCCUCUUGUAUUCUAACAGCUGACUGAAAAGAGCCAUCUUUCCCCUGUGACUUACACAUGACUCACAGGUCAUGUGAGUUUCCUUGUUUCCUUGUUUCCCUGUGAAAGGGCCAGACACAGACCCUCCAGAUCCCUGCCUCAUAAGGGAUUAGGUAUUUGACCAGUUGAGACAAAAUACCUGCUAACUUGACUUGGUCACACUCUUACAGAUUUCUCUCCUUCCUGGUUUAACCUUUGAACUUUGAUCUCCUGACCUUGAGUCAGCAUCGGGGUGUGGACCAGCUGCUCUCUGAGAGAGGGCUGAUUUCAGGGAAAGACAUUUCCUGAUUAGCUAUCUGAUCAAGCCAUCCAUUCAUACCACUCCCCACUCCUGGUUCUUCUAGACCAGCUUACUCCCCCCAGGAAAGAAAAUUCCUUUUUGCCCAACCUUUGAGAGGAUCUUAGGUCAGAGUGUUGCAACAGUCUUUUCGAGUGAAGUCCCCCUUCAUCUAAGUCUUUGUAUGUGAUGUGGCACAGGCUAAGGAUCAGAGAAAGCUUCCUGCCACCCAGUCUUGGUCACCCUCAUGGUCUGACUAUUGCACCUGCCAGGGUGGGUGGUUGAAUUGUGGCCCUGACUCUGGGCCCUGCCUACUCCAAACUUGGUUCCCAUGGCUCACUUGGGAGUCUUGCAGCAUGGUGCCUUGCAAAGGUCUCUGGAAUACAGCUCUUUCAUGAGAACCGAGGAGCAAUCUCAAAGGACAUGGGUCCUCCAGGGAAGACUUAUGCUGCUGUGUUUAUAUGGGUGUCUUACGUGAACCUGAGAAUAAGUUGUAUGUGUCCCAUUAAGAAGUGAGUUAAAGGGAGGAAUGGACAGGAAUUUGGGAUGGAAAAAUGAGACAUCUUUCCAGUGGUUAUGUUUUGUUUGAGAUGAAUACCAGGGAUGUCAGGCAUUCUUAUUUGGAGAUGGGUUUAAAAACAAUCCAAAGCAACACUGUUCUGUUCAGCUCAAAGAGCAGUGCUGGAACCACAUGUGCGUCAACAUGCCGUUUAGAGAUGCCAGAGGUACAGAGAUGGACAGACCAUCCUUGCCCUCAAAGGCUUUAUGGUCUCGUGGAGGAUUCAUACAUGGCCCGGACUGGAGAAGCAAAUGCAUAAUUACCCGCAACCUGGGCUUUGGUACUUGGUACUUGGUACUUUUUGGUACUUGGCUAAUGGUCUCAUAACUGUGUAGCUUGUUGGCCUGCUUUUUUUUUUUCCAUGACACCAGCUAUAGUGGAAGGACUUCAUGUAGAAAUUCUGAAUUUUAUUAUUGUAUCACUUUAUAAUGAGGAUAAUCUGUGGGCUUUGCAGCCAGUAGUUCUUUAGCUUGUUGAUUCAUGUGUGUGGCUACAGGUCACCACCUGUCCUGUACUCUCAAGUUUGCUCUGGAGAAAGCUUCUCUAUGAGCCACCUGCAACAUUACCUGCUUUUGUGGCUGGAUUCCUUAAAAUUCAAUAUAUUCUGAAGGAUGUGAUCAAUAAGCAGAUGGUUCAAGCCCAUACACAUGCCAAGAAAUGAGGCAUCUAAUUAGCGGUUAGACCAGGGUGUGAGGCAGUUGCAGAAGGGGGGGGUGGAACCCCUGCCUGGGCUGGGAGACCCCUGGAUAAGACAAUCAGGGCUGGUGGUGUGACAUGUCAACACAAGGUAGUUGUUGGAAGUGAGAACACAGCCUGGACCUUCAGGCUGUGCUCAUUAGGGCUUCACAGAAUUCCCAAUUAUCUUUUGACCUGGCCCUGAGCUAGGCCCCUUUUCAUUGCCCUGAAAAAGGAGUCAAUGGAUCAAAAAGAACACCCAAUUUGAAAUUCUACAUUGGUUUGGCUCUGAAGCUAAGUUGGUAGAACACAGAAAAGGGGCAUUGUCUGCAGCCAGUGACGGUAGCAGGAGGAGGAGAAGCAAGAUGGAGGCAGAGGCAGGUGUCCGCAGUGGGGCAGUUUGGGGCCCUGCACAAAGGUAGGGAAGAGACAGUUUGGGGGAAGAAGCCAACAUACCCCCUGUGAUGAAUCCCUGAGGGAUAGAUAUUUCAGUUAAUCUAUGAGUCCCACUGAACAUGUCAAGAGAGUGAUGACUCCUUUCCAUUCCCAUCCUGUUGUCUCUUGGCUGAGACAGUAACAGAUAAGGACUUUUCUCUCCUCUGCACCUGGGAGAACCCACUGCUGAGUGUCGCCUGGCACCAGAGGAGAGAGCUGAGCUCACUGUGAGCCUCUUGUGACAGGUGGAAUAUACUACUCCCCUGUUGCCAGCCUGAUGUUCCCUAGUUGACUUUUUUGUUGUGUUUCCAGUGUUUUCCCAGGUAGAGCCUACAUGAUGUUUCUAACAUGAAAUGCAGACUCUGAAAGAGAAGAAAGUAUCUGGAGUCUGGUCUAUCCUAUGACAACUGUCCUAAGGCUCCAAUUAAGACAGAGAAGGUUAAGACUGUACCUGUGAGAAGGGAUGUAUCUCUCAAGUCCAUUGACACAGCCUUGUGAACUAGGGUGAGCACCUUGACAACAAAUAAACAUAUUAAAAACAAUGUCAGUGCAACUUUUCUCUUUUUCAAUCUGCUUUCCUUUUUUCCUUGUCAUGCAAGAAGCUGAGAGAAUAAAAUCAACAUUCUUUGGUUCUUGGGCUGGGGAAAAAAGACAAUUGGUUGGAUUCUGGAGGCACACAAGUGACUAUAUCUAAGGUUGUACUAACCAACUACAGGUAAUAAAAUUAUAUUCGUUAUGAUGGUUAAAUUUAUGUGUGUUGACUUGGCAAGGCUAUAGUGCCCAGUUGUUUGGUCAAACACUAGAUAUUGCCAUGAAGGCAUUUUUUUUAGAUGUGAUUCACACUUAAAUCAUCUUUGAGGAAAGCUGAUUACCCUCUAUAAUGUGAGUGAGCCUCAUCCAAUCAAUUGAAGGCAAGAGUGAAGACUCAGGUUUCCAGAAGAAGGAAUUCUGCCUCAAGACUAUAAACAUAGAAAUCUUGCCUGAGUUUCUAGUUUGUAGAUUUUGGAAUCAACAUUAUGACAUCAACUCUUGCUUGAAUUUCUAGUUGCUGGCCUGCCAUUUGGAUUUUGGACUUGUCAUCAACCCCACAUAAUCCCAUGAGCCAGUUCCUUAAACUAAAUCCCCCCCCCCCCGCCCCUCUAUGUAUAUCCUAUUGUCUCUAUUUCUCUG